UACAGAGGUCUCAAGCGUUGUUCGGAUUCAUUGGGCGUAAAGGGUGCGUAGGCGGAUCUGCAAGUCGGGGGUGAAAUCCCGAGGCUCAACCUCGGAACUGCCUUCGAUACUGCGGGUCUCGAGUCCGGGAGAGGUGAGUGGAAUUCCUAGUGUAGAGGUGAAAUUCGUAGAUAUUAGGAAGAACACCAGUGGCGAAGGCGGCUCACUGGCCCGGUACUGACGCUGAGGCGCGAAAGCGUGGGGAGCAAACAGG
RNAcentral lists this ribosomal RNA (253 nucleotides) under uncultured bacterium. RNAcentral describes it as "partial 16S ribosomal RNA". It matches the Rfam family "Bacterial small subunit ribosomal RNA", at positions 524 to 776 of the family's 1533-position model. The record is from RNAcentral.